This 72-nucleotide transfer RNA is filed under the name Ovis aries (sheep). It matches the Rfam family "tRNA". Rfam says of the family: Transfer RNA (tRNA) molecules are approximately 80 nucleotides in length. Their secondary structure includes four short double-helical elements and three loops (D, anti-codon, and T loops). Further hydrogen bonds mediate the characteristic L-shaped molecular structure. tRNAs have two regions of fundamental functional importance: the anti-codon, which is responsible for specific mRNA codon recognition, and the 3' end, to which the tRNAs corresponding amino acid is attached (by aminoacyl-tRNA synthetases). tRNAs cope with the degeneracy of the genetic code in two manners: having more than one tRNA (with a specific anti-codon) for a particular amino acid; and 'wobble' base-pairing, i.e. permitting non-standard base-pairing at the 3rd anti-codon position. The record is from Rfam by way of RNAcentral. Lineage: Eukaryota; Metazoa; Chordata; Mammalia; Artiodactyla; Bovidae.
UCCCUUGUGGCUCAGACGGUAAAGCGUCUGCCUACAAUGCAGGAGACCCAGGUUCGAUCCCUGGGUCAGGAA